RNAcentral lists this ribosomal RNA (541 nucleotides) under Citrobacter portucalensis. Its description in RNAcentral is "partial 23S ribosomal RNA". It matches the Rfam family "Bacterial large subunit ribosomal RNA", at positions 1 to 581 of the family's 2925-position model. Lineage: Bacteria; Pseudomonadati; Pseudomonadota; Gammaproteobacteria; Enterobacterales; Enterobacteriaceae. The record is from RNAcentral.
GGUUAAGCGACUAAGCGUACACGGUGGAUGCCCUGGCAGUCAGAGGCGAUGAAGGACGUGCUAAUCUGCGAUAAGCGUCGGUAAGGUGAUAUGAACCGUUAUAACCGGCGAUUUCCGAAUGGGGAAACCCAGUGUGUUUCGACACACUAUCAUUACGUGAAUACAUAGCGUAAUGAAGCGAACCGGGGGAACUGAAACAUCUAAGUACCCCGAGGAAAAGAAAUCAACCGAGAUUCCCCCAGUAGCGGCGAGCGAACGGGGAGCAGCCCAGAGUCUGAAUCAGCAUGUGUGUUAGUGGAAGCGUCUGGAAAGUCGCACGAUACAGGGUGAAAGUCCCGUACACAAAAGUGCAUAUGUUGUGAACUCGAAGAGUAGGGCGGGACACGUGGUAUCCUGUCUGAAUAUGGGGGGACCAUCCUCCAAGGCUAAAUACUCCUGACUGACCGAUAGUGAACCAGUACCGUGAGGGAAAGGCGAAAAGAACCCCGGCGAGGGGAGUGAAAAAGAACCUGAAACCGUGUACGUACAAGCAGUGGGAGCA